RNAcentral lists this ribosomal RNA (478 nucleotides) under uncultured bacterium. RNAcentral describes it as "bacterial SSU rRNA". It matches the Rfam family "Bacterial small subunit ribosomal RNA", at positions 32 to 524 of the family's 1533-position model. The record is from RNAcentral.
AAUCAACGCUGGCGGCGUGCCUAACACAUGCAAGUCGAACGAGAAAGUGGAGCAAUCCAUGAGUAAAGUGGCGACCGGGUGAGUAACACGUGACUAACCUACCUUCAAGUGGGGGAUAACCUCGGGAAACCGGGGCUAAUACCGCAUAAAAUCUUUGGGAUGAGAAGCCGAAGAUCAAAGGAGCAAUUCGCUGGAAGAGGGGGUCGCGGCUGAUUAGCUAGUUGGUGGGGUAAUGGCCCACCAAGGCUUUGAUCGGUAGCCGGCCUGAGAGGGCGCACGGCCACACUGGAACUGAAACACGGUCCAGACUCCUACGGGAGGCAGCAGUGGGGAAUUUUGCGCAAUGGGGGAAACCCUGACGCAGCAACGCCGCGUGGAGGAUGAAGUCCCUUGGGACGUAAACUCCUUUCGACCGGGACGAUAAUGACGGUACCGGUGGAAGAAGCCCCGCUAACUUCGUGCCAGCAGCCGCCGUAAU